Molecule: long non-coding RNA, 2456 nt
Organism: Vespula vulgaris
Lineage: Eukaryota; Metazoa; Arthropoda; Insecta; Hymenoptera; Vespidae
Exons: 5
Source: RefSeq, a predicted model, not a curated record
GUUCGGUGAUCGACAGCUACACACGGAAGCCGUAUCGUCCUCAUUAAUUUCAGGUUUCCAAGAAUUCUACGUACCGACAGCGAAACAUCCCGGCUUUCUUUUUCUACAUAUACUUUGGCCUUCGUCCUGUGUACAAGCUCAAAAAAAAAGAAGAAUCAUUCUCUUCAUCAUUACGGGGCAGGAUGCUCAUCAUACAAAGAACCAGCAAACAUUCCGUUCAAAUAAAAAAAGAAUCAUCCUCUUCACCAUCCUAGGGCAGGAUACCCAUCCUGCAAGCAUCAACGAAGAUUUUAAAACAUCAUUGCAACCGUGCGUGAAGCAAUGAAUAAAUCGAGUGUUGUAUCGCUAAAAUAAAAACCAAAAGAUCGCGAAAUAGAAGCAGUGCUUGCUCGUUUGCUUAAAUUAUACCGCGUUUCGCGAUUUAAAUUAAUUUCAAGUGUUCUUGUGUCGACUGCGUGCAAUGCAGUCAGUUAUAGAGUCAGUGUUUGCUCGUACAAAGUGACUUUAACAGUCACGUAGACUGUACUUAUAAAAGAUGCUAGAUUUUCGCGAAGUAAAUUCAGUGACCGUUCGUUAAUAAAUAACUACCGCGAAUUAGAGUCAGUGCAUCACUGAAGAGGAUCUCGACCAACUUCGGUGUCUACCUACCUCAUUUUCAACCAGCUACAUAUCAUCCAACCUCAAUGUCGACCUAAAUCGCGGACGAGUGUUUUGGAGCCACCGUAGAACUUCUUAAGUAGUGAGUAAAUAAAUUUUAAGUCCCUCCAGUGCUCAAUCAUGUCGAGGACGAAAGGUCCGAAUCGGCACGAGUAACUGGUUGUAAUUUUUUAUAUAAAUUAUUGACGAGCAUGACCGUGAGUAACUCCUCUUUUGGAUUUACUCGCGAGUGGUAUAUUUUUAAUCGCCUGUGUUUUCAUUGUUUAUAUCUGUUUUAUUAGUUUAGGAUAGGGUCUUCUUGUUUCAUAGAUUAGAUUAAUUAAUAGUGUAAUUAAUAAGCACUUUUUUAUUCGUGUUUGCCCGCGAUAUUAGUAAUGAAAUCGGAUAUUAAUUUAUCCGAUUUCGUCAAAAAAAGCGUGUAAUGUGAUCUACGUUAUAUGCAUUGCUUCGUAUUUAGUCUAUUUAAUCGCGAUUUAUUUCGAUAUAUCGAUAUAGAUGUAGUGAAAAAUGAACAAGAAGACAAACGCGACGGAUAGAUUCUGGAAGAUAAGUGAUGGAUCAUGAUUUUGUUCUUUAAUUAGAAAUUAGUCACUUGUUAAAAGGAAUCGUCCGAGGUAUUUUGAUUAUUGUUACAUGAAAAAUUAAUGAAAUAUUCAAUCUAUUUUGUUCAUAAAAGAAAAGUCUCAAUAAAGUCAUUGUUUUUGAAAGAAAAAAGUCGAGUAGAAUCAUUGCUAAUAAAAAACAAAGAGACUUGUAGAGUCAUAGUUCGUAGGCCCUAGAAUAAGUUAAUCAUUUUUUAGAUCAGGAUUUUCAGCUUCUAACAAACUAAUUCCCGUUUCUCCCCCCCAUACUUUCUGCGUUCUCAUUUAUGCGUGUGCCCAGGUGUUACUCGUAUGGGUGAGAAACUGUUAGUAUGGGUUUAGUUUUAAGUUUUCCCAUAUUGGCGACUGUCAUAGCGUUAGUGAUUGCGCACGAUGUACCUUGUAUCUGUGUGUUCGUGCUAGGUGGUGCAUUGUACAUCGUUUCGCGAUUAUUUAUAAAUAAAUACGAAUAAAACAAUUACACUAAUAGAUUAUUAUUUAAAAUACUAUACUAAUAUAUUAUUAUUCAUAUCGUUUUGCAUAGUAGAGUCAGCACAUAUUGUAUGGAAAUAUUCGUAUAUUACUAGUAUGCAUAUAUAUACUAGUAUAUACUAGUAUUUUUUGCUUUAGUCUUUUACGCAAUAAUCAUUAGCCUUGACAGUCGAUUACAGCAAUUGGUACGUACUCCUAAUAUAUUAGAAAAAAUACGCGUUUGAGCUAGGGUGUCGGAGGUGCCCCGGGGCAUACUCUCUAGUGUAGGCUUUUGCACCCUGGCGGUAUGUGAGAGAAUCGUGGAGUGUGUGUGUUGGAACGAAUGUCUUGCUAUUUUUUAAAUAUAGGUUAUAGGCAGGCAGGUAGCAUACCUUUUUCUGUGUGACUGUGUAUUUAAUUUUAAGUAGGUAGGACCGGAUACAAUGCGUUCUAAUUUCCACUCAGAAGUGGAAUGUUCCGUAUCCGCAUAUUAGGCAAAGUUUCAGCAAAUUUUACAAUUAUUACAGCAUGUUUGUGUCUUUUUUUUCCCUCAUAUUUUGCUGAUGCUCUGUAUUGCAAGAUAUACGUAUCAGUAUCGAACAGUUUAAAAGUCUUUGCAUUUGUUUAAAAAUUUCUUUCCUUCGAAUUAGCAAAGAUUUUUGAACGUGUUGGAUACUUAGUAUUAAGUAUAUUAACACUUUGCACUCUCUUUUGUGAUUUGUUUUUUAUAAAGUAUAUAUCAUUUUU